RNAcentral lists this long non-coding RNA (2104 nucleotides) under Sus scrofa (pig). RNAcentral describes it as "lncRNA (ENSSSCG00005015816.1)". The record is from RNAcentral. Lineage: Eukaryota; Metazoa; Chordata; Mammalia; Artiodactyla; Suidae.
CUGGGGCAACCAGGUCUCUAGGUGACCUUGGCUUCCCCCGGGGGUUGCAUACACGAGAGUGCUGUCCAUCUCCCCACCUCCACAGCCCAGCAGCCUUCCCUGACUCCUGUCCCCAUCUCUGGGCUCAGUCUACCUUCAGUCCCCCCACGUCCCCCGAGUGAAAGAGGUCUGGACCGAGGGUGGCGCUCAGCAUCUGACUGUCGAGAGCACAGUGCUCCAGUGAACUUGCUCUUCCGUUCUCCAUUAGAAUGGGCCCGUGACCUCACCAUACUGCCCUGAACUCUCCAAACUGGGUCUUUACUGGUCAACAGAUGUGCUUUUUGUCAAUUACCCCUUGUCUCACUCUAGUCCUCUCUGUACAGAUCAGAUUUACUGAGAUAUCCAAUCACAGAGUCGUCCCUCUUCCUGACAUCACCCGUUCCCGGAACCCAUUCUGGUGGGUGAAUGAACCUCCGCUUCUUUAGCUCUUUAUAAGCCAAGCAAAGUGCAAAUCCUAUAACAGCUUCUAUCUAAUCCUCUCCUACUGAAAGUCCCCGUGGUUCCCUAUGGUGAGCCUCUGCCUCUCUCCAGUAAGUCAUAAACCCAGCUGGUUCAUACAGGUGAGUUCCUGGUGGUCUUUCCUGGAAUGCAUUGACACGCUUACCCGGUAGUUUGGAAAAAUCUGGGCUGGGGAGUUCUGAGAAAGCAUUGAGAUAGUAUCUGCCCAUGUAAGUGGUUUGUGUUCGUCUGUUUCUCCGCAAUUCACCUUGCAUCCUUUUUGCAAACCCUGAGGCCAGAUUGCAUCUGUGCUGAGCAGAGCUUUGCUGAAGGCCUGUUAGAACCUUGACCUCUCUCAAAGGGGCAGACCCAGCUCAAGCAUUUCUGGACACUUGCCUUGUCAGCCAGUCUUGCUUUCCUAAUCGAGCCCCAGAUCUGCCGCUGCUUCAGGGAGGCAGGUGUGACAUUGUGAAGGCCACUGUCAGGUGCAUCCUGGCACUCCGGUCUCAUUUUAAAUGAUGCAGUGACCACUGGGCCAAUUAAGGUCAGAAAUUUUACACUGUGAAUGCAUAAUAUCAAAGUGAUUUUAAAAUGUCUUAGGCUUUCUUGAAUUUGACUUUGAAAUUCACAAUUUCUGAUAUACAUAAGUAGUACCUAUUUUCGCCCAAGCUACAAGGCAGCUGAGAGGCAUGACCCACACCCUUGUCCUAUGCCUAAUGAAUUCAGUCAGGAAAGCUUGGUCCUCACAGUACCCAAUAUUCCUGUUAAAAGGAAUUAGUAGGGAGCUCCCAUUGCGGUACAGAGGAAAUGAAUCUGACCAGUAUCUAUGAAGAUACAAGUUCCAUUCCUGGCCUCACUCAGGUUCAAACCCGCAACCUCAUGGUUCCCAGUCGGAUUCGUUAACCACUGAGCCAUGACAGGACUCCCUAAUUCUAUGAAUUCUAAUUCUAGUUUAAUUCUAUGAAUUCUAAUGAAUUCUAGUUAUUUAUAUCUUUGGCUAGUUUCCCAAAUAGUUUGAACUACUUUUCCGAGACAUAUUUUAAGAAAGUAGGAUUAAAUAAUUAGAAACACACAGGCACACAACAGAGGGGAAAUCAGAGCAGCAAGCGCCCCAGAGAGAGGCGCUCUGGGACUGUCUCCCAACCCUUCCCAGCUCUUCCAACCAGCUCAAUCCCACAUCGCCCUCCACCCACCUUCCCGACCUCCCACUCCCCCAGACCAUUGUCCCUCUGCAGAACUCCUCUCCUAAACUCUGUUAGUCACCACGAGAAACUCCAGAGCCCCCAGGUCAUCCCUGUCAUAUUCCGUAUCCUCCUGGGGAAUCUGUUCCCCUUUCUCAUCCUUCGCAAAAACCACAAAACUCCCCUCUGGAAUCCAUCAGCAAAACCUCAUUCUCUUCUCCCAUCACCUUGUGCAAUAACUCCCCUGGGACCCUCUCAAGAGAGACUGCCUCCCUGAACCCAGUCUUCCCUGAACCCCGUCCUCCCUGCCUCCCUCUGCUGCUUUGAUACCAGGCCCCUUUCCGCUUCCCCAAACUCCCAGCUUCGAAUUUCACAUCAUGAAACUCAAUCACCUGCCAACCCUCAUUUCUGGAGCUCUGACCACUGGCACACAUUUCUGAACCUGA